RNAcentral lists this ribosomal RNA (920 nucleotides) under Aliarcobacter butzleri. RNAcentral describes it as "bacterial SSU rRNA". It matches the Rfam family "Bacterial small subunit ribosomal RNA", at positions 91 to 1028 of the family's 1533-position model. The record is from RNAcentral. Lineage: Bacteria; Pseudomonadati; Campylobacterota; Epsilonproteobacteria; Campylobacterales; Arcobacteraceae.
CUAAGUGGCGCACGGGUGAGUAAUGUAUAGGUAAUAUGCCUCUUACUAAGGGAUAACAAUUGGAAACGAUUGCUAAUACCUUAUAUUCCUUUUUAUCAAAAGAUAAAAAGGGAAAGAUUUAUUGGUAAGAGAUUAGCCUGUAUUGUAUCAGUUAGUUGGUGGGGUAAUGGCCUACCAAGACGAUGACGCAUAACUGGUUUGAGAGGAUGAUCAGUCACACUGGAACUGAGACACGGUCCAGACUCCUACGGGAGGCAGCAGUGGGGAAUAUUGCACAAUGGACGAAAGUCUGAUGCAGCAACGCCGCGUGGAGGAUGACACAUUUCGGUGCGUAAACUCCUUUUAUAUAAGAAGAUAAUGACGGUAUUAUAUGAAUAAGCACCGGCUAACUCCGUGCCAGCAGCCGCGGUAAUACGGAGGGUGCAAGCGUUACUCGGAAUCACUGGGCGUAAAGAGCGUGUAGGCGGAUUGAUAAGUUUGAAGUGAAAUCCUAUAGCUUAACUAUAGAACUGCUUUGAAAACUGUUAAUCUAGAAUGUGGGAGAGGUAGAUGGAAUUUCUGGUGUAGGGGUAAAAUCCGUAGAGAUCAGAAGGAAUACCGAUUGCGAAGGCGAUCUACUGGAACAAUAUUGACGCUGAGACGCGAAAGCGUGGGGAGCAAACAGGAUUAGAUACCCUGGUAGUCCACGCCCUAAACGAUGUACACUAGUUGUUGUGAGGCUCGACCUUGCAGUAAUGCAGUUAACACAUUAAGUGUACCGCCUGGGGAGUACGGUCGCAAGAUUAAAACUCAAAGGAAUAGACGGGGACCCGCACAAGCGGUGGAGCAUGUGGUUUAAUUCGACGAUACACGAAGAACCUUACCUGGACUUGACAUAGUAAGAAUGAUUUAGAGAUAGAUUAGUGUCUGCUGCAGAAACU